RNAcentral lists this unclassified non-coding RNA (2296 nucleotides) under Leishmania donovani. RNAcentral describes it as "gene:unknown". Lineage: Eukaryota; Euglenozoa; Kinetoplastea; Trypanosomatida; Trypanosomatidae. The record is from RNAcentral.
UCCGUUGAAGCAGCCGCGCCGCCUUCACCCACGAUGCCUCUCCUCUCCCCUUUCAUCUCAAGCAGAGCGACACCCUCAUCGUCUAGGCAGCAGCAGCAAGGAACGCGAACAUAUCCUUUUGGCCCUCUCCUUAGCUGCCGUGCGCUUCCAGUGCCGCUUACACCGGAGGCGGGAACACUCGCAACGAACGAACAACCUCCCACCUCCUCCAAAAACUAAAAGAAAAGCAAAGCAAGACGCCACCAGGUCCUCUCAACCGCAGCACACAGCACUUUCCUAUUCGUGCCCCACCCUCACGGCCCUCUCCUCUCUCCUCUGUUUGCUGCUGCGACCUUUGCUCUCUGCGACUGUGCAAGUGGAAGGAGACAACGCGGGCAUGUCGUGUGUCUGUGUCCAGGUGCGUGUGCAAGCGUAUAUGGCCCCAAUCAGGGCCUUUUUCCAGGAAAGGAGGAGGCCGUCUCUUCCAUUUCCAGUGUAUAUGUUUUUUCUAUUUUCUUUUUUUUUCCGAGUGCUCAUUCUCUUCUGCAUGUGACCCCACCAACACCCUCCCACCCUCCUUCUUUAGGGUAUUUCCUCUUGGACUCUCUCUCUCACUCGUGUUUUGCUUUUAUCUUUCUGCCACUUAGGUUUUGGAGUGUAACUUGCCCUGCAUUUUCCUGCCCGUCAGGGGGAGGGCGUAUCAGUGCGCACUCCUUUGCUUUAUUUGGGUGUCGGUGUGCCGCCUCGACGCUUCCCUCAUUCUUUCCGCCUUUUUUCUUUUCUUCCUUUCUUCGUUGUCUUCUUCGCGGAUAGACUUGUUUCUCUUCUUGUCAGCACACGUCUUGAGUCACCCUCCCCCCUCCUCCUCACCCUUCCCUCUGCCCCCCUCCGCCCCGCCGAGCUGCUUUGGUUUUCUUCAGCUGUCACCAGCGUGUCUUUCCCUAUCAUGCAGCUCUCUCUCUCGCUCUCUUCACGUUGCGCUGCUGCCCUCUUGCAACCGGCCAUUUUUCCUUUUCAUUUUGAACUGCCCUCUUUCUGUCGUCGAUCCAACCCCCUUGCCUUUUCACUUGCCUGUGGGUUUUGGUGGGGCGCAUGGAGUGUGAGUGUCUUCGAUUGCUAUGAUUCUCAUUAUUGUGGUGCUGAGGCGUCCGCGUGCGUGUCGCUCCUAGUGGGCCUUUAUUUCCGCUUCUCUCUUCCUCCCCCCUGAAGAUGGAGCACGCAUCAACGCGUGAUAUCACAUAGAUCGACACCCACCCCUCUCUCUACACACACACACACUGUUUGUGUGGGGAGGCCAUGCAACAGCCCCUCUAUCCCCUGGCAAAUGCGGAACCACCUCUGCUGGUGACAGUGUCAAGCACCCUACGACGUAGGGGUAGUUCAGCGCGACCUAUCGCUGCUGAUGUCGGCGGUUAGGCCCUGGAUGGCGUCGCGUCGGAGGAACCUGCGACAUUGGACACGCUUGCGCCAUCCACAUGAUGGAGCAGGGUGUCCGCGUGACUCGAGUGUCUCCCACCCGGCCUCUCACUGCCAGUUGGUGGGUGCGCCUGCGUGCCACUCCGAGAGGGGGCGCCCGGCGGCGACUGGCGAAGCGGGUGGGUGGGGCAGAGCUGGAUGCAGGGGCCGUGCUCUCAGAAGAUGACUGGGUCGGCGCACUGCUGUAAUGCGCGUGUAUCUGCCGCUUACUCGCACCACGCGGACGGGCCCUACGACAGGCCAAAUGGAGUGGCGUGUAGCGAAUUUUGCAUGGUCGUAUGGUCACGUAAAAACAAAACGAAAGCUGUUCCGUUUCCACGGAGCAUACCUCCUCCCUCCUUCGCUCUCCUCAUCCUCCUCCUUCAUUGGCGUUGGCAAAUGUGUGGGUUUGCCCCUGCUGGCUUAGCCUCUCUGACUUUUCUCUCUCGCAUCGCUCAGCAUCAUGGCACGCGUAGGCUUGCGCGCACACGCACCAAAAGAAAAAGACUUGCAGUUCGUCGGUGCACUCAGCGAAGCUCGCAGGGAGCGAACUGAACAAGCCUCUGUCGGAAUCGCACGAGUCGGGGUCAGCAGUCCUGAAGGGAGCGGAGGGGGGAGGGGUCAACGAAAGAAGCCUGCAACCAGUCAGAAGAGUUAUGACGAAGACCGCCACGACAGACGGCUUUGGGUUGCUGCUGCCCCCACCCCUCCCCCUCCCUUCCUUCUUUGUAUCUCUGCUUCCCUCAUGGCGCUCUCUAUUCUCGUUCUCCACUCACUGUUUCUGGUUCUAUCCGUUUGCGUCACCGUGUGAUGUGAGGUGGUCUCGGCGUGUACUACCCCUCUCCCGCGUGUUACAUCCUAG